Molecule: long non-coding RNA, 1484 nt
Organism: Rosa chinensis
Lineage: Eukaryota; Viridiplantae; Streptophyta; Magnoliopsida; Rosales; Rosaceae
Exons: 7
Source: RefSeq, a predicted model, not a curated record
AAAUUUACCCAUACUUUACCAGACUCUGACACACAAACGCUGGGGCUAUUACUGAAAAAAGAGACGGAAACACUUUUAUACGGGAGAGAGAUAGACGUGGAUGCACGAACUCGCCCACUUGGAACUCCAUGCUUCGCUAGUUAUAACCAGAAAGGCACGAUCUGAAGUUCUGAACACGAACGUGGGAGUUAUUGACGGAAAAUUGGGAGAUGGACUCACCACAAUUUACCAACUAUAAAAGGGGGGAAGUGGAUGAUCGACCUAGAAAAAGAAAACGAAGAAAAUCAAAUUCCCCCAAUUUCUUUUUGAAUUGGUUCAAAGGCUUGGUUCUGUUUGCAAGAACACUCAAUUGAAUCCUAAUAAGUUUAUUACUCAGUCAAUCUGGGCAAACAUCUUCUUUGCGGUAACAUCAUAAUAGUGAGAUUUGAAAUCACUGUGAGGUUUUCUAUCUCAUUCUCAUCUGUGUUCAUUGAAAUUCAUUUUAUUUUUUUUUAUUUUUUUAUGAGAUUUGAAUAUACGUGCACCAUCAUGCAGCAAUACCAUUAUGUCAAGAUAAUUGCAUUAGAUAUGUCUAUUAAGAAGGCUUUGAAGUCUUUUAGGCCCUAAUAUUUCUCAGUAUUUCUUAUGCUUUCUUUUAGUUCUAUCCAAUCCUCUUUUUUCUUUGUUCAAUUUAGGUGCAGAGCCCGUGAGAUUGUAGUAAGCUUAGGUUCUUUGCCUUUUGUUCCCGACUAGAUAGUAAGUAUUGCCGGAGCCACCGCAGUUGCAGUAUAUUUCUUGCAGAAGUAUUAAGACAACAAUGUGCGCUUGGGCUAUUGAGCUUCCUAUGUGAGGAGCCUCUCCUUUGCCUUGGUCUUGGAUUUUAUUUUUAUUAAUCCACCGGGCUGCUUGCUGAAUUGGAUGAACAUGAAAACACUUUUUUUUUUUUCUAAUAUUGGUUACCGGUCAAAAUUGAUUAUAGAGUAAAGUUGAGAGUUCAUAGGCUACGGUGAAGUAGACUACUGAAUUACUUAGCUCGGUGCGUGUAUACCGAACACAAAUCAAUUUGGGGCAUUGAUUGAUGUUGCAAAAGUAGCUGGGGAGUAGCUGAUUGCUGCAACUCUGUGGAUAAGGUCUCAAGACAUAGUUGCUGAAUUAUGGUAUGCUUUCAGUGAAGUACUCAUUGGUUAAUUGACUUCUUCAUCACGGUCUUUUCCACCGCCACCUGCUGGAGAUCAGGGAAACACAGUGCUACAUGCACUAGAGGCAAAAAGGCAUCGUAGGAAUGCCCGACAAAGAGAAAGACGGAAGUCAUUAAAUUCCUCACAAAGAGCUGAGUGUUCAGCCCGAAGACGCGCCAGUUAUCAAAUGCGGCGAAAUAUGGGAAAUAUAAGUAAUGAUGAAAAUCAAGUGGCAGCAAGGGAGGAUAACUUACUGACUUGGCUCUCUUGAACUAGAAUGUAUUAAAUGUUUUGUAAUCAACCAAACACCACUAAUUGAUUAUUGAA